Molecule: ribosomal RNA, 374 nt
Filed under: uncultured organism
Description: partial 16S ribosomal RNA
Rfam family: Bacterial small subunit ribosomal RNA
Source: RNAcentral
GUAGGUGGCAAGCGUUGUCCGGAAUUAUUGGGCGUAAAGCGCGCGCAGGCGGGUCCUUUAAGUCUGAUGUGAAAGCCCACGGGCUCAACCGUGGAGGGUCAUUGGAAACUGGGGGACUUGAGUACAGAAGAGGAAAGCGGAAUUCCAAGUGUAGCGGUGAAAUGCGUAGAGAUUUGGAGGAACACCAGUGGCGAAGGCGGCUUUCUGGUCUGUAACUGACGCUGAGGCGCGAAAGCGUGGGGAGCAAACAGGAUUAGAUACCCUGGUAGUCCACGCCGUAAACGAUGAGUGCUAAGUGUUAGGGGGUUUUCGCCCCUUAGUGCUGCAGCUAACGCAUUAAGCACUCCGCCUGGGGAGUACGGCCGCAAAGGCUG